CAAACACAUAUUUCAGUCACAGUAAGGUGGGACGACCACAUAUUUCAGUCACAGUAAGGUGGGACAUCCACAUAUUUCAGUCACAGUAAGAUGGGACAACCACAUAUUUCAGUCACAGUAAGGUGGGACGACCACAUAUUUCAGUCACAGUAAGGUGGGACAUCCACAUAUUUCAGUCACAGUAAGGUGGGACAUACACAUAUUUCAGUCACAGUAAGGUGGGACAUCCACAUAUUUCAGUCACAGUAAGGUGGCACGACCACAUACUGUAUUUCAGUCACAGUAAGGUGAGACAACCACAUAUUUCAGUCACAGUAAGGUGAGACAACCACAUAAUGUAUCUCAGUCACAUUAAGGUGAGACAACCACAUACUGUAUUUCAGUCACAGUAAGGUCGGACGACCACAUACUGUAUCUCAGUCACAGUAAGGUGAGAUUAAUACCUAUCUCAGUCACAGUAAGGUGGGACAUCCACAUAUUCCAGUCAUAGUAAGGUGGGACGACCACAUACUGUAU
RNAcentral lists this long non-coding RNA (516 nucleotides) under Salmo salar (Atlantic salmon). Its description in RNAcentral is "lncRNA (ENSSSAG00000095776.1)". Lineage: Eukaryota; Metazoa; Chordata; Actinopteri; Salmoniformes; Salmonidae. The record is from RNAcentral.